GACGAACGCUGGCGGCGUGCUUAACACAUGCAAGUCGAGCGGUAAGGCCCUUUCGGGGGUACACGAGCGGCGAACGGGUGAGUAACACGUGGGUGACCUGCCCUCAGCUCUGGGAUAAGCCUGGGAAACCGGGUCUAAUACUGGAUAUGACUCCAUGACGCAUGUUGUGGGGUGGAAAGCCUUGUGCGGCUGAGGAUGGGCCCGCGGCCUAUCAGCUUGUUGGUGGGGUGANGGCCUACCAAGGCGACGACGGGUAGCCGGCCUGAGAGGGCGACCGGCCACACUGGGACUGAGACACGGCCCAGACUCCUACGGGAGGCAGCAGUGGGGAAUCUUGCGC
This 340-nucleotide ribosomal RNA is filed under the name uncultured bacterium. Its description in RNAcentral is "bacterial SSU rRNA". It matches the Rfam family "Bacterial small subunit ribosomal RNA", at positions 28 to 369 of the family's 1533-position model. The record is from RNAcentral.